GUUUGGGGCGUGCGAUCGAGAACAGGGACCAAGGAAGAGCCAAAACCCUAACAUCCUAAAAUCAGCAAAUUGAGAAGGAAAUCAAAGGCUAAUCGAUUGCAUGUGAUCAAUUCUUCGUUCAUCUAAGGGUUUUCCAACAUGGGGAAUCAUGUCAAUAGGGGCACAAAUAUGGAAGCGGCACGAGUCGAAGGUAAACACGGAAGCUACGUGUAAAUUCGGACGCACAAGGAAUGAGAAUGUCGGAUUCUUAUGAAGUUGAAGCCGAACUCGGAAUAAGAGACUUAGAGAAAAUAGUCGAAUGAAUCGAAGCUAUAUUGUUGAAUAUUAUACGAAAGUUAAUUGUGUGAGAAUAGUGUUGUGUGAGGUUGUCAAUGACUAAUGAUUAAGUUGUAUGUGAUGUUCCCUGGUACCACACGGAUUUCUUCUUCUACUAACGAAGAUGAGCGGACGAAGAUCGAGUCAAGAGCAAGGAUUGUACGGGAAGGAUCGGUCACAUAGUUUAACAAAUGUAGGUUCAAAAGUAUUAAUAUAUUGGAACGUGGUAAAUCCUUUUUAAUGAGUGUAUGACAUUUGGUAUUCGAACUUUCCUGUAAGUACUAUGUCUAUUAAAGAACGAAAUUUUGG
RNAcentral lists this long non-coding RNA (624 nucleotides) under Helianthus annuus (common sunflower). Its description in RNAcentral is "sRNA HanXRQr2_Chr11g0502641". Lineage: Eukaryota; Viridiplantae; Streptophyta; Magnoliopsida; Asterales; Asteraceae. The record is from RNAcentral.